UGGAUACCACAAAACCAUCCAGUCGGGAUGAAUCAUCCUUCUGCACAAGUAAUCUCCUUGCAUUCUCGAUUCUCCUGCUAGUCCAGCAGCUUACUCCUCAUUGAUGUCUUAGCUGUACAGCUGCAAUCCACCCUUCUGCCUUUGCUCACAUCCAAGGCCUAGUGUUUCUUUCUCUGCCUGUGGAUUAUGAUGUAAAGCUCUCUACUACUGCUCCAGUGCCAGGCUUGCCUGCUUCCCACCAUGAUGGCCAUGGACUAACUAACCCGCUGAAAUUGUGAACAAAUACUCAGCCCAGCUGAGCCUCAAAUUUGUGAUCAGCUUCCUGAUUAUUGGGAUUCCAGGUCCCCAAGGAGAAGCCAUAAGUGUCCAGGGGCUGCUGGAACUACAUGCGCUGUCUUUCAGAGCAUCAGUGCAGGAGGUGUUCCUCUGACGCUGCCCUAGCAAUGUGCUGGACCUGAGGAAGUGCCCACUGGACUCAGAGCACCC
This 486-nucleotide long non-coding RNA is filed under the name Cricetulus griseus (Chinese hamster). RNAcentral describes it as "lncRNA (ENSCGRG00015004128.2)". Lineage: Eukaryota; Metazoa; Chordata; Mammalia; Rodentia; Cricetidae. The record is from RNAcentral.